UGUUGGGAAACAGCAAAUUGAAGCCA
This 26-nucleotide non-coding RNA is filed under the name Homo sapiens (human). The record is from RNAcentral. Lineage: Eukaryota; Metazoa; Chordata; Mammalia; Primates; Hominidae.